GUGGGUUUGUAAGUCGGGCGUGAAAUCCCUCGGCUUAACCGAGGGACUGCGUCCGAAACUGCAUGGCUUGAGGACGGAAGGGGAAGGUGGAAUUCCUGGUGGAGCGGUGAAAUGCGUAGAUAUCAGGAGGAACGCCGGUGGCGAAAGCGGCCUUCUGGUCCGUUUCUGACGCUGAGGUGCGAAAGCUAGGGGAGCAAACAGGAUUAGAUACCCUGGUAGUCCUAGCCGUAAACGAUGGGCACUAAGUAGAGGGG
RNAcentral lists this ribosomal RNA (254 nucleotides) under uncultured Planctomycetales bacterium. RNAcentral describes it as "partial 16S ribosomal RNA". It matches the Rfam family "Bacterial small subunit ribosomal RNA", at positions 575 to 828 of the family's 1533-position model. Lineage: Bacteria; Pseudomonadati; Planctomycetota; Planctomycetia; Planctomycetales. The record is from RNAcentral.